RNAcentral lists this unclassified non-coding RNA (1196 nucleotides) under Hevea brasiliensis (rubber tree). Lineage: Eukaryota; Viridiplantae; Streptophyta; Magnoliopsida; Malpighiales; Euphorbiaceae. The record is from RNAcentral.
UUCAUCUUCGUCGUCAUCAUCAUAAUCAUUUGCAGGUAAACUAUAUGUGCUAUAAUCACUUGAUGAAGAAUCCAUGAAAAGUUGACUGGAUGAACUAGGCAUAUCUAGAUUUGGAGUUCCAUGCUCAGGUAAAUUUUGGCUUAAGCCAGAAGACUUAGUAUGCAAUGAAUCCUGAACAGGACCCCUUAACCUAGUACUCACAUUCAUUGACCUGCGGGUCCGAACUGAUACAGCACGAUUACCGUCACUGAAAUCCGAGCUUCUACUACUCCUUGAAUCAGAGAUGGAGAUUCCAGUAGCAGGACGAACUGCACGCCCUUCAUUUGGCGAUGCACCACUCAUUUUUUUCCCUUUAGAUGAUGAACUGCUUUCACCUUCAGUAUUUCUCCUUUUUACUGUUUCCCUUCGACUAAUACUUGAUUCUGAUGAUGAAGAACUAUAUGGGAGGACAUCAGGUGUGGAAUUGCACUUCAGAUUUCUCAACCUGUAUCCCUCUCCACUACUACUGCUCCUUGUCCCAGCACUAAUGGAUUUAGACGACGAAGAAAUAGAGGAAUUCAUUGGACUCUUUUGGUUGGAAGAACCAGGUCCAUGACCAAAUAUUUUUCGAGGUCUACUGUUCGAUGUUCCACUAGAGCAACCAACUUCUGUAAAUACAACUUUGCUGGAUCCAGUAUCUCUCUUUGCUGAAUCAAAUUGGAAUUGACGCUCCGUUGAUGACUGCAUCUGUUUUAAAACUUGUGACUCUUUACGUAAGGAACUGGUAUCUGAUCGCUUAUCUUCAAUGUUAGAAGAGUACUUCUUGUGAGAUUCCUUGCCUGACCUUCUUGCAGUAGUCAUUCCAGAGGAUGUCACAGAUGAACUCCCAACUACUUCCUUUCCGUUUGAUGAACCGAAAGUAGGCCUUAGUGGUCUCGGUUUCUCCAUGCCUCCAACUCUGGUACUCUUAGUAUAAUUGACCCGGCCACUACAUCCAAGUCUAGAACAAUACUGAACAUUUUUAUCUUUGUUUUCAGCAGUGUCCCUUAAACCUCUUCUGGCGGCGACAAGCCCAUUCCCAGCUCUUUUAACAGGAUAUUCAUCCAUGUCUUACACGAAGCACCAUUUAUAUCUUUUUCUCUUCUGUUUUCGUUGUUUUCUUCUUCUUUAUCCCAAAGAAAAAAAAUCCCUUUUUCACGAGAGAGAUUAUAGGAUCG